AAAACAACUCUCGGCAACGGAUAUCUCGGCUCUCGCAUCGAUGAAGAACGCAGCGAAAUGCGAUACUUGGUGUGAAUUGCAGAAUCCCGUGAACCAUCGAGUCUUUGAACGCAAGUUGCGCCCAAAGCCUUCGGGCUAAGGGCACGUCUGCCUGGGUGUCACGC
This 164-nucleotide ribosomal RNA is filed under the name Nymphanthus lamprophyllus. RNAcentral's name for it is "Phyllanthus lamprophyllus 5.8S ribosomal RNA". It matches the Rfam family "5.8S ribosomal RNA". From Rfam's summary of the family: 5.8S ribosomal RNA (5.8S rRNA) is a component of the large subunit of the eukaryotic ribosome. It is transcribed by RNA polymerase I as part of the 45S precursor that also contains 18S and 28S rRNA. RNAcentral also lists the same sequence under 2 other names. Lineage: Eukaryota; Viridiplantae; Streptophyta; Magnoliopsida; Malpighiales; Phyllanthaceae. The record is from RNAcentral.